Molecule: non-coding RNA, 1424 nt
Organism: Macaca mulatta (Rhesus monkey)
Lineage: Eukaryota; Metazoa; Chordata; Mammalia; Primates; Cercopithecidae
Source: RefSeq, a predicted model, not a curated record
CUGAAGCUUGUGUGACAAAAUGAGACCCUGUCUCAAAAACAAAACAAACCAAAACAAAAUAAAAUAAAUAUGUACUAUAGAAGUAGAAUAGACUACCAAUGAAAAUGGGCAUGAAUGAGGUAGAGCAAAUUAAGACAAGAAAGCUUGAGAGGAAAGUUUCAGUGGCUCUGUGUAGUGGCAGAGGGGACCGGAGUCUCCAUGUGGUGAAGUAAGAGGUGGGUGCUCAGGAAUCAGGAUUCUGGGGCCUGAAAACAGUGGACAGAGCCUAGAGAAUACUCAUGAGUCAAACAGGUUUCUCAAUUGUUAUCCCAAAUCAGAGACGAGACUAGCCCUUUAUGGUUCAUUUGGCACCCAGGAGAGUGGUCAGUUCAGAAGCUUAACACUCGCCUAUUUCAAGAACCAAGGAACAUGUCCAUCCAGUCACUGAGCACAAAGACAUCAGCCUCUAAAUAUUUGAAGAUUUAUGGGAUUCACAUCUCUUCAAUAUCCAUUUCUCUCAAUACCACCAGAAGAACUCAUGGGAAACAUCUUUAAUUCAACAAUGUGUUCUCUCACUUUGAGAAAUAAUGAAUGAAAAUGUGUAAGGAAAGAUAGUCCAGGAAAUGGGAGCAAGAUAAUUAAGGAUACAUCCAUGUGUCUCAUGUGUCAUGCUUGAGACAUAAGUUGUGCAUAGAUUAUGGGGAUACAAUAUACAUGGAUGCUAUGUUAAAAUGUAAUAGUUUUGUGAGCCAUACCAGAGGUUGGCCUGGGAAUUGGAAAAUAUGAAUACUUCUGCAUGGUAGCAAACAGUCUAUUUAAAUGAAGGCAUACAAAACAAAACAAACAUUUAUUGAGAUGAUUGGAUAACAGUUUUUAUGAAUGAGAUCACGGUCUUAGCUCGAUGCUGUGGUUAGUAGGACCAGGUUACAAAUAAGCCCUUCCACUCACUUUGUUUGAAUUGGGAUUCAUUUCCCAAUUUGCUCCAAUACCUGGGCUUCCUAACUAGUCACUGUUGGAAAUUCUGCAGCAUAACCCUAGAAACAACAUCAGUGACAUUAUUUAUAUCCCAGAGAGAAAGAGUCUUUAAAUAAUGCACACAAUCCUUUGACCUGCCCUCCAUUUCCUUUUUUCUCUCUUUUUAAAACCAUUAUAUUAUUUCAGCUCUACCAAAUUUCCUGGGAAAUGAAAAGUCAAUGAAGUUUUUCAUCUGACCGGAUAACAUUUUGAACCAUUAGGCAACAAACUGAAGUUGGUUUCCAAGUGUUCACUAUUUCUCGUUGUCAUUAAUACUUUUCUAUUGAUAAUAAUAGCAUUUGUCACAUGAAACUUAAUAUUAUUCAGUACAAUAAGGCAGAAUAAAGGAAGGAAAUUACUUUAGCUAGGGGGGCAAAAGGGCUUCCUGUGUUUCUUUGUAACCCAGAAUAAACCACAUGGCACCUAUAUUA